This 425-nucleotide ribosomal RNA is filed under the name uncultured bacterium. RNAcentral's name for it is "bacterial SSU rRNA". It matches the Rfam family "Bacterial small subunit ribosomal RNA", at positions 355 to 773 of the family's 1533-position model. The record is from RNAcentral.
UGGGGAAUUGUUCACAAUGGGCGCAAGCCUGAUGACGCAACGCCGCGUGGAGGAUGAAGGUCUUCGGAUUGUAAACUCCUGUUGCUCGGGACGAAAAGCCUCGACCUAACACGUCGAGGUCUGACGGUACCGAGUGAGGAAGCCCCGGCUAACUCUGUGCCAGCAGCCGCGGUAAUACAGAGGGGGCAAGCGUUGUUCGGAAUUACUGGGCGUAAAGGGCGCGUAGGCGGCCCGCUAAGUCGAACGUGAAAUCCCCGAGCUCAACUCGGGAACUGCGUCCGAUACUGGCGGGCUUGAAUCCGGGAGAGGGAUGCGGAAUUCCAGGUGUAGCGGUGAAAUGCGUAGAUAUCUGGAGGAACACCGGUGGCGAAGGCGGCAUCCUGGACCGGCAUUGACGCUGAGGCGCGAAAGCUAGGGGAGCAAAC